GACAGAGGUGGCGAGCGUUGUUCGGAAUCAUUGGGCUUAAAGGGCGUGCAGGCGGCGGCGUAAGUGUCGAGUGAAAUACCAGUGCUCAACGCUGGAACGGCUCGGCAAACUGCGUCGCUUGAGGUCGGUAGAGGUGCUUGGAACUCUAGGUGGAGCGGUGAAAUGCGUAGAUAUCUAGAGGAACGCCUGAGGCGAAAGCGGAGCACUGGGCCGAUUCUGACGCUGAGACGCGAAAGCGUGGGGAGCAAACAGG
This 253-nucleotide ribosomal RNA is filed under the name uncultured bacterium. Its description in RNAcentral is "partial 16S ribosomal RNA". It matches the Rfam family "Bacterial small subunit ribosomal RNA", at positions 524 to 776 of the family's 1533-position model. The record is from RNAcentral.